AGUGAACGCUGGCGGUAGGCCUAACACAUGCAAGUCGAACGGCAGCACGGGAGAGCUUGCUCUCUGGGUGGCGAGUGGCGGACGGGUGAGGAAUACAUCGGAAUCUACUCUGUCGUGGGGGAUAACGUAGGGAAACUUACGCUAAUACCGCAUACGACCUACGGGUGAAAGCAAGGGACCUUCGGGCCUUGCGCGAUUGAAUGAGCCGAUGUCGGAUUAGCUAGUUGGCGGGGUAAAGGCCCACCAAGGCGACGAUCCGUAGCUGGUCUGAGAGGAUGAUCAGCCACACUGGAACUGAGACACGGUCCAGACUCCUACGGGAGGCAGCAGUGGGGAAUAUUGGACAAUGGGCGCAAGCCUGAUCCAGCCAUACCGCGUGGGUGAAGAAGGCCUUCGGGUUGUAAAGCCCUUUUGUUGGGAAAGAAAUCCAGCUGGCUAAUACCCGGUUGGGAUGACGGUACCCAAAGAAUAAGCACCGGCUAAUUUCGUGCCAGCAGCCGCCGCAG
This 506-nucleotide ribosomal RNA is filed under the name uncultured bacterium. RNAcentral's name for it is "partial 16S ribosomal RNA". It matches the Rfam family "Bacterial small subunit ribosomal RNA", at positions 29 to 523 of the family's 1533-position model. The record is from RNAcentral.